UUUCCGUAGGUGAACCUGCGGAAGGAUCAUUAUUGUAUAACCGAGGUGCUACGGCUGUCGCUGACCCGAAAGGUCGUGCACGCCCGAGUGCCCUCACACACAUCCAUCUCACCCCUAUGUGCACCACCGCGUGGGUCCCCCUUUGGCUUGUUCGGAGGGGGGCUUACGUUUUCACACAAACUUUGUAUGCAGUGUAGAAUGUAUUUUUUGUUUUUGCGAUCACGCAAUCAAUACAACUUUCAACAACGGAUCUCUUGGCUCUC
This 263-nucleotide unclassified non-coding RNA is filed under the name plant metagenome. RNAcentral describes it as "partial contains small subunit ribosomal RNA, internal transcribed spacer 1, and 5.8S ribosomal RNA". The record is from RNAcentral.